GAUGAACGCUGGCGGCGUGCCUAAUACAUGCAAGUCGAGCGAACAGACGAGUAGCUUGCUCCUCUGACGUUAGCGGCGGACGGGUGAGUAACACGUGGAUAACCUACCUAUAAGACUGGGAUAACUUCGGGAAACCGGAGCUAAUACCGGAUAAUUUAUUGAACCGCAUGGUUCAAUAGUGAAAUACGGUUUUGCUGUCACUUAUAGAUGGAUCCGCUCCGUAUUAGCUAGUUGGUAAGGUAACGGCUUACCAAGGCAACGAUGCGUAGCCGACCUGAGAGGGUGAUCGGCCACGAGAGAACUGAGACACGGUCCAGACUCCUACGGGAGGCAGCAGUAGGGAAUCUUCCGCAAUGGGCGAAAGUCUGACGGAGCAACGAAGCGUGAGUGAUGAAGGUCUUCGGAUCGUAAAAGUCUGUUAUUAGGGAAGAACAAAUGUGUAAGUAACUAUGCACGUCUUGACGGUACCUAAUCAGAAAGCAACGGCUAACUACGUG
Molecule: ribosomal RNA, 497 nt
Filed under: uncultured bacterium
Lineage: Bacteria
Description: partial 16S ribosomal RNA
Rfam family: Bacterial small subunit ribosomal RNA
Source: RNAcentral